This 102-nucleotide microRNA precursor is filed under the name Marmota monax (woodchuck). The record is from RNAcentral. Lineage: Eukaryota; Metazoa; Chordata; Mammalia; Rodentia; Sciuridae.
AGUGGGAGAGCUGGGUCAAAUGGUGGUUUCAUUCCUAUUUUUUGAGGAAUCUCCAUAAGGCUUUCCAAAGUGGUUGCACCAAGUUGAAGUCCCACCAGCAAU